Long non-coding RNA from Nomascus leucogenys (northern white-cheeked gibbon), 265 nucleotides. RefSeq lists it as uncharacterized. Lineage: Eukaryota; Metazoa; Chordata; Mammalia; Primates; Hylobatidae. The record is from RefSeq and is a predicted model, not a curated record. The transcript has 3 exons.
GAUCCCCAUGACCUCUAUGGUUCCUUAGACUGCACUUUGAGAACUAUUGAUGUACAGGGAAAAAUGCUCUUGGUGUUCCAGUUUAGCACAGAAUAAAAUCUGGACUGUGUCAGUUUGUGAAGGUCUUAUGUCUACUUGGUCAUCAGCCAAGAAGGGAUUCCGAAGAUAGAAGAGGAGGCAUCGACACCAUGAACAUCAUGGCUGAGUUAUUUUGUGAGAAGGCUAAGCCUAAAGUAAAAACCUUGGAUUUGCCUCUGUCCUUGAA